UGCGUAGGCGGCGCGGUAAGUCGGGUGUGAAAUCUCGGAGCUUAACUCCGAAACUGCAUUCGAUACUGCCGUGCUCGAGGACUGGAGAGGAGACUGGAAUUUACGGUGUAGCGGUGAAAUGCGUAGAUAUCGUAAGGAAGACCAGUGGCGAAGGCGGGUCUCUGGACAGUUCCUGACGCUGAGGCACGAAGGGUCAGGGAGGCAAACG
Molecule: ribosomal RNA, 208 nt
Filed under: uncultured bacterium
Lineage: Bacteria
Description: partial 16S ribosomal RNA
Rfam family: Bacterial small subunit ribosomal RNA
Source: RNAcentral